Nematolebias whitei (Rio pearlfish) is the source of this 346-nucleotide long non-coding RNA. RefSeq lists it as uncharacterized. The transcript has 3 exons. The record is from RefSeq and is a predicted model, not a curated record. Lineage: Eukaryota; Metazoa; Chordata; Actinopteri; Cyprinodontiformes; Rivulidae.
GAAGAUGGUGAACCGUAUUCUGGCCACAAGGGAGAUGGAGGGUGUCAAAUCUAAUGAACACAUCAGAGGGACUGUGGAGAAAAUCCUUCAGGAAUUUGGCAUCCUGAGCAAGCACACUGUGUUUGUGACAGAUAAUGGCUCAAACAUGAUCGCUGCUUUCAAGGAUUAUGUGCGACUCUCCAUAAUAUCAACUUGAUCUUAAAACACGUAUUUGACCACUUGGAUGAGGACAACCCAGUACACAGCAGCGUCAUCAAGCUGUUUAAGGACGCAAAGACCCUGGUCACACAUUUCAAAAGGGCAGGGUUACAAAAAGCACUGGACCAGUCACUGAAGCAGGCUGUAG